Gallus gallus (chicken) is the source of this 375-nucleotide long non-coding RNA. RefSeq lists it as uncharacterized. NCBI's taxonomy places the organism in Eukaryota, Metazoa, Chordata, Aves, Galliformes, Phasianidae. The transcript has 2 exons. The record is from RefSeq and is a predicted model, not a curated record.
GGGCGGAGCGACCGCGGGGAGCUUGCGGGGCCGCCCGGCCUCCUCCGGCCGGGAGGGCCUUCCUCGGGCCUGCGGCUGCUGUGCGGGUUGCGGAGCCCGGCGCCGGAGUUGCCGGUAGUGAGGACAGACGGUGCUGAAGGGCCCUGGCUUUGGGCUGCUGCCUGCCUUUUAGGACGCCAUCCCCGCCGCUGACGUCUCCCGGAGGUGUUGGCCCCUGCCGCAGUAACCAUUCGCUGUGCUCCUGUUGCUGUGCGUCUCUCCUCACAGUGCCCGCCGACCGAGAUUAAAACUUUUUUUUUUUUUUUUUCACUUCCCGUAGUCUGUCGUUUUUGUCUUGAGAACUUGGAAAAAAAGUAAAAAUCGAGUUUCUUCGGA